UACGUAGGGGGCGAGCGUUAUCCGGAUUUAUUGGGCGUAAAGGGUACGCAGGUGGCUUUAUAAGUCAGAUGUGAAAGGCAGUGGCUCAACCAUUGCAAGCAUUUGAAACUGUAAGGCUUGAGUACUGGAGAGGAAAGUGGAAUUCCUAGUGUAGCGGUGAAAUGCGUAGAUAUUAGGAGGAACACCAGUGGCGAAGGCGACUUUCUGGACAGAUACUGACACUGAGGUACGAAAGCGUGGGGAGCAAACAGG
Molecule: ribosomal RNA, 252 nt
Filed under: uncultured bacterium
Lineage: Bacteria
Description: partial 16S ribosomal RNA
Rfam family: Bacterial small subunit ribosomal RNA
Source: RNAcentral